AUGGAGCUGAGAUCGCCUUUGUCUUUGGAAAGCCCUUCUUAGCUGGACACGCUACAGAAGAAGAGCAUAAACUUAGCAGAACUGUUAUGAAAUACUGGGCUAACUUUGCUAGAAAUGGAAAUCCCAAUGGAGAAGGCUUGGUCCACUGGCCUCAGUAUGACCUGGAUGAGAAAUACCUGGAGAUAGACCUGAAGCAAAAGGCAGCCCAGAAACUGAAAGAAGGCAAAAUGAAGGUUUGGACACAUCUCGUGAAAAAAAUGAUGAGUGAAAGGAGAGAACACACAGAUUUGUAAGAGCUGCAGAGGGUACAGUUUGCUGUGAAGACCCAAAGUAAAGUCAAACAAAACCAGUUUGUCAGGAUUCAGAGUUAUAAUCACCUUCUAACUCACUUGCAUAUAAUCUGUUGUCCUGGUCACAGUCAAAGAGGAGAAACAAGGCAAAUUUAGAAUGUUUGUUGGACUAAAAAUCACUAUUUAAUGGAGCAAACAGAAAAAACCCACAAACAACUAGAAAGUCCGAUCUUUCAGUGA
This is a long non-coding RNA of Empidonax traillii (willow flycatcher), 530 nucleotides long. RefSeq lists it as uncharacterized. The record is from RefSeq and is a predicted model, not a curated record. Lineage: Eukaryota; Metazoa; Chordata; Aves; Passeriformes; Tyrannidae. The transcript has 4 exons.